GUCCACGCCGUAAACGAUGGAUACUAGCUGUUGGGAGCGAUAUCAGUGGCUAAGCGAAAGUGAUAAGUAUCCCACCUGGGAGUACGUUCGCAAGAAUGAAACUCAAAGGAAUUGACGGGCCCGCACAAGCGGUGGAGCAUGUGGUUUAAUUCGAUGAUACGCGAGGAACCUUACCAAGGCUUAAAUGUAGAUUGACCGGUUUGGAAACAGACUUUUCGCAAGACAAUUUACAAGGUGCUGCAUGGUUGUCGU
This 252-nucleotide ribosomal RNA is filed under the name uncultured bacterium. RNAcentral describes it as "partial 16S ribosomal RNA". It matches the Rfam family "Bacterial small subunit ribosomal RNA", at positions 793 to 1055 of the family's 1533-position model. The record is from RNAcentral.